GCGGAUGUGGCGGAAUUGGCAGACGCGCAAGCCUCAGGAGCUUGUGGUGGCAACACCGUGGUGGUUCGAAUCCACUCAUCCGCACCA
This 87-nucleotide transfer RNA is filed under the name Acidobacteriota bacterium. RNAcentral describes it as "tRNA-Leu". It matches the Rfam family "tRNA". Rfam says of the family: Transfer RNA (tRNA) molecules are approximately 80 nucleotides in length. Their secondary structure includes four short double-helical elements and three loops (D, anti-codon, and T loops). The record is from RNAcentral. Lineage: Bacteria; Pseudomonadati; Acidobacteriota.